UUUUACCAACUAAAUAGACAGUUUCUAUGGGGGCGUAGUCCUUCCAAAGGGUAACGGAGGAGUGCAAAGGUUUCCUCGGGCCGGACGGAGAUUAGCCCUCGAUUGCAAAGGCAGAAGGAAGCUUCACUGCCAUACCCACCGUCGAGCAGGGACAAAAGUCGGCCUUAGUGAUCUGACCAGAUGAUGGUCUAACGAAAGAAAA
RNAcentral lists this non-coding RNA (202 nucleotides) under Punica granatum (pomegranate). Its description in RNAcentral is "Bacterial large subunit ribosomal RNA". It matches the Rfam family "Bacterial large subunit ribosomal RNA", at positions 2247 to 2461 of the family's 2925-position model. The record is from Rfam by way of RNAcentral. Lineage: Eukaryota; Viridiplantae; Streptophyta; Magnoliopsida; Myrtales; Lythraceae.